RNAcentral lists this ribosomal RNA (253 nucleotides) under uncultured bacterium. Its description in RNAcentral is "partial 16S ribosomal RNA". It matches the Rfam family "Bacterial small subunit ribosomal RNA", at positions 524 to 776 of the family's 1533-position model. The record is from RNAcentral.
UACGUAGGGGGCAAGCGUUGUCCGGAUUUAUUGGGCGUAAAGCGCGUGUAGGCGGCCAGGUAGGUCCGUUGUGAAAACUCGAGGCUCAACCUCGAGACGUCGACGGAAACCAUCUGGCUAGAGGGUCGGAGGGGAGACUGGAAUUCUCGGUGUAGCAGUGAAAUGCGUAGAUAUCGAGAGGAACACCAGUGGCGAAGGCGAGUCUCUGGACAGUUCCUGACACUGAGGCACGAAGGCCAGGGGAGCAAACGGG